Molecule: long non-coding RNA, 4978 nt
Organism: Corvus hawaiiensis (hawaiian crow)
Lineage: Eukaryota; Metazoa; Chordata; Aves; Passeriformes; Corvidae
Exons: 4
Source: RefSeq, a predicted model, not a curated record
GCAGGGUUGGGUUCUUUUAAACUUCAUUUCCCCUUUUUGCUUCUUGUCAGCACCAGGAAUUAUUUAAGGCGCUUUCCCCAUUUUUCUGUUGAGGUACCUAAAACGCCAGUGGUUAAUACAACCAUAAAUCUGCUGUGCCCUUGGGAAGGCCCUACAGCCAAAUGCCCCAGAAGGACUUCGGUAGGAGUGUUCCCAGCACCUCUCAAUUAAACUUUGCCAGAGCUGUUUCGCUUAAAUAACAGAUUUGCGACAAAUAAAUAACAAACUGAAAUCCUGACUGGCUGUGAGAUGCCAGCAGGCAAUUUUCCCUUUCCAAAAGAGCCUCGUUGGUUUUUUGGAAGGGAGUGGGAACUAGGACUCAGAAUUCAAAUGUUCCUGAACUGGUGCAGGAGGCAGAGGAAAGUUCAAAAUCCACUGUGGGUUUUGCAGGAUGGAGUUAAAUUUGAGUGAAUUGCUUGGGAUAUUGAUGGUAAAUUUUGUUCCUGCAGCACACUGACAGUUAAUGGGAUAAGAUGGGAAGUCUGAGUAGGAGUGAGACUUCUUGGGGAUGUGGAGAUUAUAGAACCAUAGAAUGGCUUGGGCUGGAAGGGACGUUUAAGAUCAUCCCGUUGCAAUCUCCAUUAUCUAGUUCUAAGCCAAAGAUAGCUGUGUUUCCAGAUCUUCAAUCAAGCCAAAGUCACAGCUAUUAUAAUGUUUUAGAGAGUUGUCCUGAGGAAAAAACCCCUCACGUGGGAAUUGUGCUGAUCCACAAAACAUCACACUGCCUUCAGGAUAAGCCCUUGUAGGAAACCUGUCCCCUCCUCCCUGCAAAAAAAAGAGAGCUUUAAAAUUUGUAAAGUGCCCCUUGGUACUCUUUCUCAGCUAGGUCAAGUCCAAGACACCACAACUAACCUCUCUCCCACAUCUUGUUUUCUAGUUAGCAGGGAAACAAAACCAAAACAGGAAUACCAGGUGUUCCUGCCUCUCUAUGAGCACCACUCAGUGCUCCUGUUAUCAUUUAUUGCUUGCCCAUCCUGGCCAUCCAGGCAAGAAGAUAAGAUUUCAGGGCACUGCCUUGUUGGCACAGCCCUAGAACUGAAGUUGAGUUUCCCUGAUGCAUUUGAAUGCCUCCAGGCUGUUGUAGCUGUUCCAGGAGGCUGGAAAGCAGCCAGCUGGCUGGAACAGCUGCCAGCCAUGCAGGAGGCCUCAGGCACUGCAGUGCUGGGACAUUGGCAGCAGGAGGUGAGUGUAUUCUGGGUGAAUGGAUGGUCUCGGGGUUCCUUGCACUUUUGGGUGGUCCACUGUUGUUUGUGUGCCCCAGACAGGCUUUGGGGAGAGGUGCCUGCACAUACCCAGCCCUUCAGUGCCCUGUUGGAGAGCCUGGCUCUGGAGCCUCUUUUCCCACAGCCUGCAGGUGCCCCCUCAUCUUAAGCCCUUUCAGGACAAAUCCUGAGCAAAGCAGUGAAGUCCUGCCUGGCCAGGAGGAAGCUAUGAGGGCUUCACUCUCAGCUCAGGCUGUUUGUUUCUCCUGAGAUGCCCAGUGAGACUUUGUAAGCAGGAGGAUAUUUGUCAGUAAAUGCUAGUGUAACCCUAACGUCCUGAUUUAAGGGAGUUAUCCAUCAAGUUGGUUGUUUUCAGACCUCAGUAGCUGCUGAAAAAUCAGGAGAGUCUUACAGCUGGAACAGCCAAGUGCCAUGUGCUCAGCUGAAGAUGAAUGUGGCAAUCACAGGUGAGUCCUGACCUUUACCGUGGCAAAGCUGUUAUUGGUAUCUCUUGGCUGAAAUGAAAGUAAGCAGAAGGAAUAAUUUUUGCUUCAUGCCUGGGAAAAAAGCAAUCAGGCCCUGAUUCAGCACAAAGAUGGUUUGUGUUCAUCCUUCCAAGCACAGACUGGAUCUCACUGUUUUGGGAUCAUCCCAGCAUCCUCUCUACUCGCAGUUUGCAAUGUCUGUGCCAGAGAUUAGGAAAGACAAAGGGUCCUGGAAGGGUCCAGCAAGACCCUUGGAGCCACGUGGGCAGCAUUUCAGUAGUUUCCUCCUUCAGCCAGUGAUUAAUGAGUUGUUCAGCAGAGGAUGAGGACUGGGCUAACAAUAUGCUUGUUUUCCUUUCCUAGGUGAAGCACUUCUCCAGUAAGAUGCAGGAUGCUCCUGGGGUGUGAGCAGGGAUUUGUGCUGCUCUCUGGAGAUGCUUUUCACAAGGACAGGCAGGGAGAGCCCUCUGGAUGUGUCCAAAGGCAGUAACUUCUGCAGGAUUUGUUCCAAGAAGGAGUCGAAGUAGCUGUUCACCGUUUCAAAGCUGUCCCGGAUGGUCUCGAUGCCCCAGUCGGAAUAGGAUGACUCUGCCUGGGAGUCCUGGUGGCCGGUGCUGUCCUGUGCUGCCUCCUCGGUGCACUGCCCCAAGCCCAGGGUCAGGCACAGAAGCGCUGCCUUCAGCAGCAGCCGCAUGCUGCAGUCCCGAUCCCGGAGCCCCGGGCAGGGAGUAGCGGGAAUGGGCUGCGUGUGUAGGAGGCACUGAGCUCCCCUCUGCCUGGACUUUAAACGCUGCCCAGGGAGCCGGCGUGAGGUCACCGCAGCCGGGGUGCAAAGUGCAGCGCCGAGAUCUGGACCGCGUUCACCUGCCAGAGCUGGGAGUUCGCACAGUCCCGCGGGGACAGCCUCAGUCCCCCCGGCACCGGGGCUGCAGCUCCCCAAAAGGGACCUCUCCCUGCAUGGGCCACCUCACUCCCUCCCCAGCCUGGUGGGAGAUGAAAAAAAUUCCUGCUGCUCAGGCAGCCUGAAGAGCACCCCUUGCCCUUUCCCCAGGCCUCCUGGGCACACGGGGGUGGGAUGAGACCUUCACCCAGCCUAGCUGCUGGGUAUAUUGCUCCUAGCAAAUCCCAUGGGCCCUCGGAGGGGUUGAUCCAGCAGCUUGGAGUAGUUUGGGGUUACAAACACUGCAUUCAGGGUAAUUCCUUGGCAUCACCUCCAGUUCUAGGAUCGAUGUUGUAGAUGAAUACUUGCCUUUGAUGUGGCUGCUGAGGGCUGAUGUUAUAUGGCUGGUUGUUACAGCUCCUAUGUAAUGUAAAUUAAACAUGUAGCACAGGUGAGCCAGAAGGAAAGGUUGGCACUGAAAUCUGAGCCAGGGGAUGGGUUGUGGGCAGCUGCAGGUCUUGGCUCUGGAGUGGGACAGGCCUGCCAGGACCCAGGGGCCUGCUCAGCUGGUGGAGGGUUCAAAGUUGCGCAUUAAAAAGAAAGCAACCAAAUGAACAUCCACAGCAAAAGACAAAGCAAACCACUCACAGAGAAUAGAGAAGGGAAAUGGUAUGGGAAGGUUCUGGCUGCUCUUAGAAAGCUUUUCAGAUGUGCUCCAGCACAGCAAUGCCUCUCAGGAGGAGUUGGGCUGCAGGCAUUUUAAACAUAUGCCAAACACAAAUGCAAAUUCUGGCAUUUUAUUGUUUUGCAGGAGAUUCAGCCCUGCUGUGUUGCUGCUUCUGGAGGGCCAGAGCUCCAUGGCACUGCCUGUGUCUCUGCACAUGGCCCUGGGUGACAAACUCCAGACAUGGGACAGCCAAGUCUUGGUUUCUUAGGCAGCUGCAGCUGCUGUGGUCCUUACCCUUGCUGGGUUCCUCCCAUGGUGGUGACCCCCCAUGGUCCUGCUCCAGGUGCAGCUGUGCCAGAAGAGCCCCAGGGACCCAGGUUCCUGAUGACCAGAACUAAGCAUGAGCUCCACUGCUCUGCGGGGUGAAGCUCAGGAAUGGCUGUGGGUUUUGGUUAUGGAGGAGGCCAGCCUGACCUUCCCACAUGUGAGUUUAUUGUGCUGUUGGAGUCUCUGGUGCUUUCCUCCCUUCACUAGAACCAUUCCAGGAUCAGUGGUUGGUUGACCUUCUGGCUUCAGGAAAUAGGUAUGUCACCCCUGGAAAAGGGACACUCAGCAGCUGACCCUGCUUUCAGCCCAGCAUGAUCUGCCCUCCCCUCUUGCAGUCCUUUAGGGCUGUGUGUUCCCAGCAGAGACACAAAGUUUAGUGUUGAACAGGAAUUUGGAGUAGGAGCAGCUCCUGCACCUGCCCACUGAGAUGGUGCAGGGAAACAAAGGAGCUUAGUUUCCACAAAUGGUGAUAAAACUUUGUGUGAUCAGAUUUAUAGCAGCCACAUACGAGGAGAGUUGGAUGUGGAGGAUUUCUCACUGCUACUGGCAGUGGCUUUUAUUUUAAGCCUGUUCACUUUUUUUUUAAAACAUUAAAAAUUUUAUUACAAAAAAUGUAACAGUAAGGCAAUUUCUCAGUUGUCAGUCACUGUGAGCCCAGACAGUUUUCAAUCAUGUUUAAUACAAAACUAGAUUCACACAGGAGCCACGCCAGGGAUCCAAAAGCCCUUUGAGAAAUGAUGGGGUAAGGCAGAAGCAGCAGCACCAGUGUAAUCCCUUACACAGUCAGCGUUGGAGGCAUGGACACCACUGCAGUGGAGGAAACAGGGAUUGUCUGCAGUUUGAAAAUCUAAGCCAACCCUACUGCCAUAACCUGAAACAUUCCUGAUAUGCCUCAGCAGACUCAAGGUUUAAUUUUGAGGGAUUUUUUUUUUCCCCUUUAACCAAGUGAAAUUUUCUACUGUCACAAGUAGAAAAUUCUUUCCUGAAGAAUUAUCUGUGAGUGGUUCACUGCUUUAAGAAGUCGUGCACCAGAACAUUUGUACUCCCCAAGCAAUGCCUGAGACUGAUGCUGUUUAAUACUGGAAAUACUCACUGGCAUUGAGGUGAGGGAGGGAACUGCUGACCAAAAUUCCCCAUCUCUGGCUUUUUUUUCGUCCUUUGGUGAUUGUUGAAUAGAGUUGGGACAGCAAGAGCAAAUGCUUUCCACACCUGUUCCUGAUGGCAGUACAGGGAUUUUGCUUUGUGCUCCUUUACAAGGUAGGACUGGCAUUUAUGGAUGCCCCACACUGUUCACAGGACCCUUGUACUUGCAGGGAGGGGGUGGGAGUUACCUGCAGCCAUAGUUACCUUUUUGGAACUUUACAAACUAAAAGAGAGG